This 114-nucleotide long non-coding RNA is filed under the name Polistes fuscatus (common paper wasp). Its description in RNAcentral is "uncharacterized LOC122522817". The record is from RNAcentral. Lineage: Eukaryota; Metazoa; Arthropoda; Insecta; Hymenoptera; Vespidae.
CAUAUCCAUUGAUUGGAAAUCUGAAUAUAUUACUUGGUGAUAUGAAAGAUAUAACUCAAAAAUUAAUAAACAUGUCUACAAACUAUUCUUCGCCGUGGCGACUGUGGAUAGGCC